GCGCUGGUGCUGGAACUGGCAGACAGGCAUGGUUGAGGCCAUGUGCCGCAAGGCGUGUGGGUUCGAUUCCCACCCAGCGCA
This 81-nucleotide transfer RNA is filed under the name Anaerolineales bacterium. RNAcentral describes it as "tRNA-OTHER". It matches the Rfam family "tRNA". Rfam says of the family: Transfer RNA (tRNA) molecules are approximately 80 nucleotides in length. Their secondary structure includes four short double-helical elements and three loops (D, anti-codon, and T loops). Lineage: Bacteria; Bacillati; Chloroflexota; Anaerolineae; Anaerolineales. The record is from RNAcentral.